CAGCCGCCGCGGGAAUACGGAGGGGGCUAGCGUUGUUCGGAAUUACUGGGCGUAAAGCGCACGUAGGCGGCUUGGUAAGUUAGAGGUGAAAGCCUGGAGCUCAACUCCAGAAUUGCCUUUAAGACUGCCGAGCUAGCAGGUGAGAGAGGUAAGUGGAAUUCCGAGUGUAGAGGUGAAAUUCGUAGAUAUUCGGAAGAACACCAGUGGCGAAGGCGGCUUACUGGCUCAUACUGGACGCUGAGGUGCGAAAGCGUGGGGAGCAAACAGGAUUAGAGACCCGUGUAGUCCCUGUCUCUUAUAC
Molecule: ribosomal RNA, 301 nt
Filed under: uncultured bacterium
Lineage: Bacteria
Description: partial 16S ribosomal RNA
Rfam family: Bacterial small subunit ribosomal RNA
Source: RNAcentral